CUUGUGCAUCACACCCUUAGAAAAAGACUGUUGGACACAUUAGGAACAGGGGUGCUGCUUCUAGUGUUUUUGGGUUGGUUAGAAUCACAUAGUUAGGCUCUUUGUUGGUUCCUGUUCCCCUACAUCAGUUAGUCAGUUUUAUGUUGCUUCUCUUUUCCCGUAGCUGGGUUGUUACAUAAAGACAAGACUGCCAACAUACGGUGAGUGGGGAGACAGCCCCAUGACAUCAUAUACAGACACCAGAGACCAACGUGGCAGCAGUGAACUGAAACCUGGCUCUGUCAGUAAGUGAAAUACUCGGUGAGUAAAAUUUCCCGGGCUGUUGUAUCUUCUUUGUUUGCAGAAAUCGACUGCCUGGUGCUGGAUGUGAGUCCCACAGCGUCUGAGGUUUUACUCUCUCAGCAAAGUGGUUCCACAAAGGGUUUAUAUCUUGAUGCUUCAUGGGAACAGUGCAACAUCUACUGGCCUGAAUGCAAAAUGGGCAAAAUACAAACGUUUGUAUGUCACAAACUGAAUGUAAGUAUAAGGGAAAGCAUGAUUGUAUUUUAUAUUCCAAGCUUAGAUUUAUAUACUGUCAAAGCAAAUCAAAAUGUUUUGUAUGCAUCAAAUGUGUCAAUAUCAGUGAAGUUAAGCUCAAUGUCUUUGUUUUAACUUAGUGACAAAACUAAGUUAGUUUGCAAUGUGGGCAAAGAACAUGUAGCUUUACUUUUAAAUGUCAGCUCUGGUGGUUGUGCUGUAAAGGUGCAAUAUAAGAUGUGGCCAGAACUUUAGUUUAACAUGUUGAAAUAAUGAAUUAACACAAUCAACAGUGUGUGAAGUGGCUAUAGUGGUGAAGACCUCCGUCUGUUGUAUUUCAGAGUUAUCUCCUUAAAUGCGCAUGCGCACCAGCCAGCACCGACCUGUCCUGUGUUGUAAUACCACUUUGUGACACUAGAGGCUGUGUGAGUCAGCGGCGCGUCAAGUCUGCUCUCAGUCCCACGAAGAAGAACAACUUCCGGCGGCUUCAGGUUAGCAUCACAGAAACACAGGAAUGGCUGAACCGCCUAAAAGACGAUAUUCAUCCGCAUCCCGAAGGACCGCUCCCGACAAGAAACCACGUUCAACGGCAAAGAAAAGAAGCGACACGCGUAAAUCUGGAUGUGACUUUCCACCGCUGGAGAAGCUCCUGAGAGGAAAGAGAUGCGGUUUGAUGCCGAGCUCGCAACUUUCCUGUUAGCCUGCCAGUGCCAAGUACUUCCAAGCUCCUGGCAACACCUGCCAGACAGAGCAGGAGGAAGAGCGAGUUGUCUUCCCUCCCAGAGACCAGGAGAGGCAGCCCAGGUGACCGUUCAAGGCAGCCAUGGGGAAGAACACCUCCUGUCCUGGGAAGGAGAGUCUCCAGAGCUGUCUUCUUGGACUGACCUCGGGCCCUGCAAACUGGGCCAGUGUUAGCCGCCUGGUGGAGGCAAUUUGCAACCAGCUCUGCAUCUUCACCCGGUGGCCACGUGGUCCAGAGGGACCGUGAGGACUCGCUGGUCAUUCAUUCUCAAGGAUUAUGUGGCCAUCAAAGAGGCAGUGCUGGCCGGCCCCAGGUUGAUGGCUCAGACCAACAUCCAGCUCUUUGAAUGACUCAGUGCUGCUGGCCAGACUCUCCCUUCAGCAAAGGGUCUGUCCUUGGUCCAGGUGGGACAAGGACAGACCUUUAACUUCACUGUCCUGGAGGAGCAGCCUGGAUCCUCCAGCAGGGGUCUCCUGAGGGAAAUCUGUCUCUUUAGCUUCUUAAUGCUCCACUAUGUUCAGCAGCUGCUCUCGGACCGUGUCUGUCUGCUGUUUGCUGCUGAAGAGGUCGUGGACAGUGGCUACGGCCGAAAAAGUGUAUAUAUUAAAAGAUGACAAAGACGGUAACUGAAUCAUUAUUUUACUGCACAGUUCAUUUUUCUUUUCUUUUAAUUGUAUUCUUAAAUUGCGUUCACCAUGGCCUUAAAAACUCUUCGACACCAAGAUAGAAAGUUUAAAUGAGCACAGUGCAAAGACUGGACACUGACUGUUUCCCUGGUAAAAAUGUUUUAAAUAGUUUCCAUUGGGCGCAAUGCUGUUACUGUAAGAAUUAAUUUGUAAUGUG
Molecule: long non-coding RNA, 2101 nt
Organism: Seriola aureovittata
Lineage: Eukaryota; Metazoa; Chordata; Actinopteri; Carangiformes; Carangidae
Exons: 4
Source: RefSeq, a predicted model, not a curated record